Molecule: ribosomal RNA, 484 nt
Filed under: uncultured bacterium
Lineage: Bacteria
Description: partial 16S ribosomal RNA
Rfam family: Bacterial small subunit ribosomal RNA
Source: RNAcentral
AUUGAACGCUGGCGGCAGGCCUAACACAUGCAAGUCGAGCGGAUGAAGGGAGCUUGCUCCUGGAUUCAGCGGCGGACGGGUGAGUAAUGCCUAGGAAUCUGCCUGGUAGUGGGGGAUAACGUCCGGAAACGGGCGCUAAUACCGCAUACGUCCUGAGGGAGAAAGUGGGGGAUCUUCGGACCUCACGCUAUCAGAUGAGCCUAGGUCGGAUUAGCUAGUUGGUGGGGUAAAGGCCUACCAAGGCGACGAUCCGUAACUGGUCUGAGAGGAUGAUCAGUCACACUGGAACUGAGACACGGUCCGGACUCCUACGGGAGGCAGCAGUGGGGAAUAUUGGACAAUGGGCGAAAGCCUGAUCCAGCCAUGCCGCGUGUGUGAAGAAGGUCUUCGGAUUGUAAAGCACUUUAAGUUGGGAGGAAGGGCAGUAAGUUAAUACCUUGCCGUUUUGACGUUACCAACAGAAUAAGCACCGGCUAACUUCGUG